GAUGAACGCUAGCGACAGGCCUAACACAUGACAAGUCGAGGGGCAUCACAUGAAGUAGCAAUACGGAUGGUGGCGACCGGCGCACGGGUGAGUAACACGUAUGCAACCUGCCUUCAACAAGGGGAUAACCCGUUGAAAGACGGACUAAUACCCUAUAACACAGGGGUCCCGCAUGGGAAUAUUUGUUAAAGGACAACCGGUUGAAGAUGGGCAUGCGUUCCAUUAGCUAGUUGGCGGGGUAACGGCCCACCAAGGCAACGAUGGAUAGGGGAACUGAGAGGUUUAUCCCCCACACUGGUACUGAGACACGGACCAGACUCCUACGGGAGGCAGCAGUGAGGAAUAUUGGUCAAUGGACGCAAGUCUGAACCAGCCACGUCGCGUGAAGGAAGACGGCCCUACGGGUUGUAAACUUCUUUUAUACGGGAAUAAAGUGCCCCACGCGUGGGGUUUUGCAUGUACCGUAUGAAUAAGGAUCGGCUAACU
This 486-nucleotide ribosomal RNA is filed under the name uncultured bacterium. RNAcentral's name for it is "bacterial SSU rRNA". It matches the Rfam family "Bacterial small subunit ribosomal RNA", at positions 28 to 502 of the family's 1533-position model. The record is from RNAcentral.